AUAGGAAAAUCCGUUAAGAGAGCUAAGGUGUGAUGAUGAGUGUUAUUUAGGUAGCAUGAAAUGUAGGUAGUCAAGGUGCCAAGAAAUAGCUUCUAAGGUUAGGCUAUAAGGGACCGUACCGCAAACCGACACAGGUAGGUGGGAUGAAAAUUCUAAGGCGCGCGAGAGAAUCCACGUUAAGGAACUCUGCAAAAUACGUACGUAACUUCGGGAUAAGUACGACCUAAGCAAUUAGGUAGCAUAAAAAUGGUCCAAACGACUGUUUACCAAAAACACAGGUCUCUGCAAAUCUGUAAAGAGAAGUAUAGGGACUGACACCUGCCCGGUGCUGGAAGGUUAAGAGGAGAUGUUAGUUUAUUCGAAGCAUUGAAUUUAAGCCCCAGUAAACGGCGGCCGUAACUAUAACGGUCCUAAGGUAGCGAAAUUCCUUGUCGGGUAAGUUCCGACCCGCACGAAUGGUGUAACGAUUUGGACGCUGUCUCAACGUGGAGCUCGGUGAAAUUGAAGUAUCGGUGAAGAUGCCGAUUACUUGUGGUUAGACGGAAAGACCCCGUGAACCUUUACUAUAGCUUGGUAUUGAGAUUUGAUUAAAUAUGUGUAGGAUAGGUGGGAGACUUUGAAGCUAUCUCGUUAGGGGUAGUGGAGUCAAUCUUGAAAUACCACCCUUGUUUAAUUAGGUUUCUAACUUAUAGAAAUAUGAGGAGAGUGCCAGGUGGGUAGUUUGACUGGGGCGGUCGCCUCCUAAAGAGUAACGGAGGUGCGCAAAGGUUACCUUAGAGUGGUUGGAAAUCACUUUGUAAGUGUAAAGGCAUAAGGUAGCUUAACUGUAAGACUGACAAGUCGAACAGAUACGAAAGUAGGUCUUAGUGAUCUGGCGGUGGCAAGUGGAAGCGCCGUCACUUAACGAAUAAAAGGUACUCCGGGGAUAACAGGCUUAUCCUUCCCAAGAGUUCACAUCGACGGAAGGGUUUGGCACCUCGAUGUCGGCUCAUCGCAUCCUAGGGCUGGAGCAGGUCCUAAGGGUAUGGCUGUUCGCCAUUUAAAGCGGUACGCGAGCUGGGUUCAGAACGUCGUGAGACAGUUUGGUCCCUAUCUGCCACAAGCGUUGGAUAUUUGAGAGGAGCUAUCUUUAGUACGAGAGGACCGAGAUGGACGAACCUCUAGUGUACCAGUUAUCCUGCCAAGGGUAAGUGCUGGGUAGCUACGUUCGGAAAGGAUAACCGCUGAAAGCAUCUAAGUGGGAAGCCUUCCUCAAGAUGAGAUAUCCUUUAAGGGUCCUGGAAGAAUACCAGGUUGAUAGGUUAGAAGUGUAAGUAUAGUAAU
Molecule: ribosomal RNA, 1323 nt
Filed under: Borreliella lanei
Lineage: Bacteria; Pseudomonadati; Spirochaetota; Spirochaetia; Spirochaetales; Borreliaceae
Description: partial 23S ribosomal RNA
Rfam family: Bacterial large subunit ribosomal RNA
Source: RNAcentral